GAGGGUAUAUCUCAGUGGUAGAGUGUAUGCUUAGCAUGCAUGAGGUCCUGGGUUCAAUCUCCAGUAACUCCA
This 72-nucleotide transfer RNA is filed under the name Camelus bactrianus (Bactrian camel). It matches the Rfam family "tRNA". Rfam says of the family: Transfer RNA (tRNA) molecules are approximately 80 nucleotides in length. Lineage: Eukaryota; Metazoa; Chordata; Mammalia; Artiodactyla; Camelidae. The record is from Rfam by way of RNAcentral. RNAcentral also lists the same sequence under 3 other names.